GCGGGGGUGGCCGAGCGGACAAAGGCGCGGGAUUCAGGGUCCCGUGGCUGAGUGCCUUCGAGGGUUCGAAUCCCUCCCCCCGCA
RNAcentral lists this transfer RNA (84 nucleotides) under Candidatus Latescibacterota bacterium. RNAcentral's name for it is "Candidatus Latescibacteria bacterium tRNA-Leu". It matches the Rfam family "tRNA". From Rfam's summary of the family: Transfer RNA (tRNA) molecules are approximately 80 nucleotides in length. Their secondary structure includes four short double-helical elements and three loops (D, anti-codon, and T loops). The record is from RNAcentral. Lineage: Bacteria; Pseudomonadati; Candidatus Latescibacterota.